GUACAAGUCGUAACAAGGUUACCGUAGGUGAACCUGCGGUAGGAUCAUUAGCAAAACUAGUACAUGGGAAAUUCAAUUCGGUAGAAUUGAAUUUUCUAUGGCAAUGAAUGCGGGCGGCGCGGCUGUAGCGGCGCUGCCUCGACAUAGGAGAGGAGAGAGAGGUGUGGUGUAGGUAGGGGACGGAGAAGAGGAAGUGAUGAACGACCUUUAACAAUGGAUCUCUAGGCUCCUGC
RNAcentral lists this unclassified non-coding RNA (233 nucleotides) under fungal sp. RNAcentral's name for it is "partial internal transcribed spacer region". The stretch from base 1 to 50 matches the Rfam family "Eukaryotic small subunit ribosomal RNA", at positions 1782 to 1831 of the family's 1831-position model. Lineage: Eukaryota; Fungi. The record is from RNAcentral.